GCUUCUUUUUCCACCGGAGCUUGCUCCACCGGAAAAGGAGGAGUGGCGAACGGGUGAGUAACACGUGGGUAACCUGCCCAUCAGAAGGGGAUAACACUUGGAAACAGGUGCUAAUACCGUAUAACAAUCGAAACCGCAUGGUUUUGAUUUGAAAGGCGCUUUCGGGUGUCGCUGAUGGAUGGACCCGCGGUGCAUUAGCUAGUUGGUGAGGUAACGGCUCACCAAGGCCACGAUGCAUAGCCGACCUGAGAGGGUGAUCGGCCACAUUGGGACUGAGACACGGCCCAAACUCCUACGGGAGGCAGCAGUAGGGAAUCUUCGGCAAUGGACGAAAGUCUGACCGAGCAACGCCGCGUGAGUGAAGAAGGUUUUCGGAUCGUAAAACUCUGUUGUUAGAGAAGAACAAGGAUGAGAGUAACUGUUCAUCCCUUGACGGUAUCUAACCAGAAAGCCACGGCUAACUACGUGCCAGCAGCCGCGAUAAUACGUAGGUGGCAAGCGUUGUCCGGAUUUAUUGGGCGUAAAGCGAGCGCAGGCGGUUUCUUAAGUCUGAUGUGAAAGCCCCCGGCUCAACCGGGGAGGGUCAUUGGAAACUGGGAGACUUGAGUGCAGAAGAGGAGAGUGGAAUUCCAUGUGUAGCGGUGAAAUGCGUAGAUAUAUGGAGGAACACCAGUGGCGAAGGCGGCUCUCUGGUCUGUAACUGACGCUGAGGCUCGAAAGCGUGGGGAGCAAACAGGAUUAGAUACCCUGGUAGU
This 755-nucleotide ribosomal RNA is filed under the name bacterium enrichment culture clone WG_114. RNAcentral describes it as "bacterial SSU rRNA". It matches the Rfam family "Bacterial small subunit ribosomal RNA", at positions 68 to 794 of the family's 1533-position model. The record is from RNAcentral.